RNAcentral lists this ribosomal RNA (253 nucleotides) under uncultured bacterium. RNAcentral describes it as "partial 16S ribosomal RNA". It matches the Rfam family "Bacterial small subunit ribosomal RNA", at positions 524 to 776 of the family's 1533-position model. The record is from RNAcentral.
UACGUAGGGGGCAAGCGUUGUCCGGAAUCAUUGGGCGUAAAGAGCGUGUAGGCGGCCCGGUAAGUCCGCUGUGAAAGUCGGGGGCUCAACCCUCGAAUGCCGGUGGAUACUGUCGGGCUAGAGUCCGGAAGAGGCGAGUGGAAUUCCUGGUGUAGCGGUGAAAUGCGCAGAUAUCAGGAGGAACACCGGCGGCGAAGGCGGUGCUCUGGGCCAGUAUUGACGCUGAGGAGCGAAAGCGUGGGUAGCAAACAGG